GACGAACGCUGGCGGCGUGCUUAACACAUGCAAGUCGAACGCGCCUGUCCUCUGGGUUUCUGGGGGGUGGGUGAGUGGCGAACGGGUGAGUAACACGUGAGUAACCUGCCCCCUUCUUCGGGAUAACGGUCUGAAAGGGCUGCUAAUACCGGGUAUUCACUGGUCUCCGCAUGGGGUCUGGUGGAAAGGUUUUUUUCUGGUGGGGGAUGGGCUCGCGGCCUAUCAGCUUGUUGGUGGGGUGAUGGCCCACCAAGGCUUUGACGGGUAGCCGGCCUGAGAGGGUGACCGGUCACAUUGGGACUGAGAUACGGCCCAGACUCCUACGGGAGGCAGCAGUGGGGAAUAUUGCACAAUGGGCGCAAGCAUGAUGCAGCGACGCCGCGUGAGGGAUGGAGGCCUUCGGGUUGGGAACCUCUUUCGCCCGUGGUCAAGCCGCGACGUGGGUCGUGGUGAGGGUAGUGGGUAAAGAAGCGCCGGCUAACUACGUG
RNAcentral lists this ribosomal RNA (488 nucleotides) under uncultured bacterium. RNAcentral describes it as "partial 16S ribosomal RNA". It matches the Rfam family "Bacterial small subunit ribosomal RNA", at positions 28 to 507 of the family's 1533-position model. The record is from RNAcentral.